This 253-nucleotide ribosomal RNA is filed under the name uncultured bacterium. RNAcentral describes it as "partial 16S ribosomal RNA". It matches the Rfam family "Bacterial small subunit ribosomal RNA", at positions 524 to 776 of the family's 1533-position model. The record is from RNAcentral.
UACGUAGGGUCCGAGCGUUGUCCGGAAUUACUGGGCGUAAAGAGCUCGUAGGUGGUUUGUCACGUUGUUCGUGAAAACUCACAGCUCAACUGUGGGCGUGCGGGCGAUACGGGCAGACUGGAGUACUGCAGGGGAGACUGGAAUUCCUGGUGUAGCGGUGGAAUGCGCAGAUAUCAGGAGGAACACCGGUGGCGAAGGCGGGUCUCUGGGCAGUAACUGACGCUGAGGAGCGAAAGCGUGGGGAGCGAACAGG